CGCUGGCGGCAGGCUUAACACAUGCAAGUCGAGCGGUAACAGGAGAAGCUUGCUUCUCGCUGACGAGCGGCGGACGGGUGAGUAAUACUUAGGAAUCUGCCCAGUAGUGGGGGAUAGCUCGGGGAAACUCGAAUUAAUACCGCAUACACCCUACGGGGAAAAGGGGGCGCUUGCGCUCUCGCUAUUGGAUGAGCCUAAGUCGGAUUAGCUAGUUGGUGGGGUAAAGGCCUACCAAGGCGACGAUCUGUAGCUGGUCUGAGAGGAUGAUCAGCCACACCGGGACUGAGACACGGCCCGGACUCCUACGGGAGGCAGCAGUGGGGAAUAUUGGACAAUGGGGGCAACCCUGAUCCAGCCAUGCCGCGUGUGUGAAGAAGGCCUUUUGGUUGUAAAGCACUUUAAGCAGUGAAGAAGACCUAACGGUUAAUACCCGUUAGCGAUGACAUUAGCUGCAGAAUAAGCACCGGCUAACUCUGUGCCAGCAGCCGCGGUAAUACAGAGGGUGCAAGCGUUAAUCGGAAUUACUGGGCGUAAAGCGAGCGUAGGUGGCUUGAUAAGUCAGAUGUGAAAUCCCCGGGCUUAACCUGGGAACUGCAUCUGAUACUGUCAGGCUAGAGUAGGUGAGAGGGAGGUAGAAUUUCAGGUGUAGCGGUGAAAUGCGUAGAGAUCUGAAGGAAUACCGAUGGCGAAGGCAGCCUCCUGGCAUCAUACUGACACUGAGGUUCGAAAGCGUGGGUAGCAAACAGGAUUAGAUACCCUGGUAGUCCACGCCGUAAACGAUGUCUACUAGUCGUUGGGGAACUUGAUUCCUUAGUGACGCAGCUAACGCAAUAAGUAGACCGCCUGGGGAGUACGGCCGCAAGGUUAAAACUCAAAUGAAUUGACGGGGGCCCGCACAAGCGGUGGAGCAUGUGGUUUAAUUCGAUGCAACGCGAAGAACCUUACCUGGUCUUGACAUAUCUAGAAUCCUGCAGAGAUGCGGGAGUGCCUUCGGGAAUUAGAAUACAGGUGCUGCAUGGCUGUCGUCAGCUCGUGUCGUGAGAUGUUGGGUUAAGUCCCGCAACGAGCGCAACCCUUUUCCUUAGUUACCAGCGGUUUGGCCGGGGACUCUAAGGAUACUGCCAGUGACAAACUGGAGGAAGGCGGGGACGACGUCAAGUCAUCAUGGCCCUUACGACCAGGGCUACACACGUGCUACAAUGGUAGGUACAGAGGGCAGCUACACAGCGAUGUGAUGCGAAUCUCAAAAAGCCUAUCGUAGUCCAGAUUGGAGUCUGCAACUCGACUCCAUGAAGUAGGAAUCGCUAGUAAUCGCGGAUCAGAAUGCCGCGGUGAAUACGUUCCCGGGCCUUGUACACACCGCCCGUCACACCAUGGGAGUUGAUUGCACCAGAAGUGGGUAGCCUAACUUUUAGAGGGCGCUCACCCACGGUGUGG
This 1437-nucleotide ribosomal RNA is filed under the name uncultured bacterium. Its description in RNAcentral is "bacterial SSU rRNA". It matches the Rfam family "Bacterial small subunit ribosomal RNA". The record is from RNAcentral.